RNAcentral lists this ribosomal RNA (300 nucleotides) under Triticum aestivum (bread wheat). Its description in RNAcentral is "partial small subunit ribosomal RNA". The record is from RNAcentral. Lineage: Eukaryota; Viridiplantae; Streptophyta; Magnoliopsida; Poales; Poaceae.
AUACGAUGAGCCAGCCUGACAGAGAAACCAACCCAACCCCUAACUCUGUCGUAGUGCUGGCUUUCAAGCCUCCUCAAUGUGUCUUCGAGGUCUUGCCUCCCGGUACCCAGCAGUAUUACCUGUACAUCUUGACCAGCUAUCCAUGUCAUUGCUUCUGCUAUCAAGUCUAUGCCUUUUUGAUUGUCUAGCCGUCCGAUGAAAGCAAUCACAGGAACAUCCCCACGAACCGGGAGACCAAGUUCUUUCUGCAAUGCCGCUUUACACUGUGCUUUACCUGUUUCAACAGUUUCCAGAGAAUAG